This 550-nucleotide ribosomal RNA is filed under the name uncultured Glomus. RNAcentral describes it as "SSU rRNA". It matches the Rfam family "Eukaryotic small subunit ribosomal RNA", at positions 548 to 1098 of the family's 1831-position model. The record is from RNAcentral. Lineage: Eukaryota; Fungi; Glomeromycota; Glomeromycetes; Glomerales; Glomeraceae.
UUGGAGGGCAAGUCUGGUGCCAGCAGCCGCGGUAAUUCCAGCUCCAAUAGUGUAUAUUAAAGUUGUUGCAGUUAAAAAGCUCGUAGUUGAAUUUCGGGAUCAAUAUUUCGGUCAUGCCGUUGGUAUGCACUGUUAUCAUUGAUUUCUCACCUUCUAAAGAACCGUAAUGCCAUUAAUUUGGUGUUACGGGGAAUUAGGACUGUUACCUUGAAAAAAUUAGAGUGUUUAAAGCAGGCUCACGCUUGAAUACAUUAGCAUGGAAUAAUGAAAUAGGACAUCCGAUUCUAUUUUGUUGGUUUCUAGGAUCGAUGUAAUGAUUAAUAGGGAUAGUUGGGGGCAUUAGUAUUCAAUUGUCAGAGGUGAAAUUCUUGGAUUUAUUGAAGACUAACUACUGCGAAAGCAUUUGCCAAGGAUGUUUUCAUUAAUCAAGAACGAAAGUUAGGGGAUCGAAGACGAUCAGAUACCGUCGUAGUCUUAACCAUAAACUAUGCCGACUAGGGAUCGGAUGAUGUUAAUUUUUUAAUGACUCAUUCGGCGCCUUACGGGAAAC